UCCCUGGUGGUUCAGAUGGUAAAGAAUCUGCCUGCAAUGCAGAAGACCUGGGUUCGAUCCCUGGGUUGGGAA
RNAcentral lists this transfer RNA (72 nucleotides) under Bos taurus (domestic cattle). It matches the Rfam family "tRNA". Rfam says of the family: Transfer RNA (tRNA) molecules are approximately 80 nucleotides in length. Their secondary structure includes four short double-helical elements and three loops (D, anti-codon, and T loops). Lineage: Eukaryota; Metazoa; Chordata; Mammalia; Artiodactyla; Bovidae. The record is from Rfam by way of RNAcentral.